GAGCAAUUGUGACAUCAAGCAAAAUGUCAGGCACCAAUCCAAAGAUUAAAAUAUAAAUAUGAACUAGAAUAAGGCAUGCUCCAUUAUUUCUCUCUUCCAGUCAUGAGCUGAUUGUACUUCUCGGGAAAGAAGGGCCAUUGAUUUUGGUAUCCAACACCCAACAGUUCAAAGUAUGGUAACAUUUUCUAGGUCCUUCUGGCCCAGCUAGGACAUCUGGCCUGAAGUCUCACAAUGGAGAGAGGCUGUUUCUUCUUCAAGUCCUGUCAAACAACAAGGAUUUCCUGAUCCCUGUUACAUUAUCUCCAAAGCAGAUAACAGCAUUGAGGAAUUAAGUGAAUGCAGAACUAAGACAAUCAUUCAGAAGAGCCACCCCACGGCCUUCCUCAGAAGCCUUCGGGAAACAUCAUGCAGUGUCCUCCUUUAAACUGAGUGUUUAUCUUCAUUCUUUAUGUUACUGAUAUUCAACUGUCCUAUGGCCAUUCUUAGCAAUAUAGAUGUUCCUGUAGGUCAAAGAAUGGAAAGCAACUUCAGAGAAAGGCAAAAAUGGAAGGAGAAUGCAGGCCAGAAGUUAGCCUAUUUAUACGUGAAAACAACAGCUAAUCCCCUGGGCAUGGAGUGGGGAGCUUAAAUCAUACCACUUUAGCAAGACCCACCAUGCUUCCCUGCCUUGGUGACUGAUGUCUUUCCUAGGAUGCUUUUGAAUCACAAGCAAUGUGAGCCAAUAUCUACAAAGCUCCUGAUGCUGCAUACGUUGAAGGCAGAAGAGUGGUUUGAUAACGGACUGUCUAAUAGUCACCACCAGAUGAUUCCUACGAUCUCCUGUGACCUUCAAAGUGGGCCCAUAUACCCUGCGGGAAGUAUAAGGAACUCCACUGGGAUGCUGGAAGGAAAUAAUAGAACUUCUGUUUAUACUUUAUUUUUCAUCUCAUCCUUUUGUAAUUUCUAUUUUUGUGUAUGCUUUAC
RNAcentral lists this long non-coding RNA (963 nucleotides) under Equus asinus (donkey). RNAcentral describes it as "lncRNA (ENSEASG00005027024.1)". Lineage: Eukaryota; Metazoa; Chordata; Mammalia; Perissodactyla; Equidae. The record is from RNAcentral.